UACCGCCAGGCAGGACCCGGCUCGCUUACUUGGCGUUCUCGGGCCUGCAGUCCUUGGCAUCUCAGCUCGUGGGUGGAGAGCAACGGGCUUCACGUCGAGGAAUAUUACUUGAU
Molecule: ribosomal RNA, 113 nt
Filed under: Galba neotropica
Lineage: Eukaryota; Metazoa; Mollusca; Gastropoda; Lymnaeidae
Description: partial 28S ribosomal RNA
Source: RNAcentral